This 413-nucleotide long non-coding RNA is filed under the name Ananas comosus (pineapple). RNAcentral's name for it is "long non-coding RNA (ACOM_LNC033854)". Lineage: Eukaryota; Viridiplantae; Streptophyta; Magnoliopsida; Poales; Bromeliaceae. The record is from RNAcentral.
ACAAUUAUUUUUUUGGGAAAACUUCAAAAAACCCCUGUAGUUUCGCACUUUUUUAUUUUACUACCCUAUGGUUUAAAGUGUAUCAAAUUAGCACCUGUGGUUUUUCACUUUAUCACUUUAGUACCCUACGGUUUAAAGUGUAUCGAGUUAGUACUUUGUGGUUUUAUUUUUAUAUCAAAUUAAUAUCCUGUGGUUUUAUUUUUGUAUCAAGUUAAUAUUCUGUGGUUUUUAAACCACAGGGUACUAAAGUGAUAAAGUGCGAAACAACACGAUACUAACUUAAUACACUUUAAACCACCGGGUACUAAACUGAAAAAGUGCAAAACUAUAUGGUACUAACUUGAUACACUUUAAAGCACAGAAUACUAAAGUGAGAAAAAUUAAAACCACAAGGGGGUAUUUGAAGUUUUACU